Astatotilapia calliptera (eastern happy) is the source of this 1489-nucleotide long non-coding RNA. The record is from Ensembl. NCBI's taxonomy places the organism in Eukaryota, Metazoa, Chordata, Actinopteri, Cichliformes, Cichlidae.
CCCCCCCCACCCCCCCGGUGUCUUUAACUCUGUGCUGUGAAAUGCCGAGCGCAGUCAGAGGCACGAGGACGCCGCUUACAGCUUUGUCUGACUUUUAGCAGUGCGCUCAUGACCUGGACAUAACUGUGGUUGUAAACGAGCGUGCUUAAAAUUCAAAAUCACUAAGAAACUAUGUGGAAAAGUACUUCAAAAGUGAUCUAAUCUGUAUUUGUUGCCCUCUGCAUGGCUUUUCCAUACAUCCAUCCUUACCGCCCAGGUUUGUUAAAGGGCACAUGUUGAGUGCGCGAGCAUGUUUGUGAGUGAGUGUGUGUGCGUUGACUUUAUCUGUACGUACAACUGUUUUUAGAUAAAAAGGCUGCUGAUUGAUGAAGUGAAAUAGUUGAUUCUCCUAGUUGGAACACUGUUUCUACUACUUUUAUAAAAAAAAAUAAUGAUUAUAAUAAUGGAUUCCUUCCCAUAGCAAUACAAAACUGUUCUAUUCAGUGGGUUUUUUUUUUUUUUUGGUUUUUUUUUUUAAUAUUUUGGGCUGUUUACUGAAUCUUCCUUCUGUUGGCACUUAUCAGAAGUUAUGCCUGUGCUUUAUUCGUCCUAAAGAGAAACAAAAAACCUACAACUAAAACAUUAAAAAUCAACCAGUAUGAUAAGAAUCUGGUCUUUAUGUUUACAAUCACACAGUAUUCUCAUUAAAGAUGGAGAAGCAAUAUUACCCCUACCCCACCAACCCCCCCCCCCCCCUCGCUCCUUCCUGAACUGCUGUGUAUUUGAUGGCAAAAAUUUAAAACGAAGACAAAGAGGAUUUGGGUUUUUAAUGGAUGAUGGCUGUGUGUGCGUGCGUGUGUGAUUUAAGUAUUAAAUUUUGCACAUGGAAGAACAAAUGAGUUGUGUUUUUUCAGCGCUGGUAUUUUCUUAUUCAUGAGAAAGUUUUGACUCUCAAACAUAGUCUUUCCCUGUAAGAGAAAAAUGCUUUGGAACCUUUAAAAAAAGAGCAACAAAGUGAUUAAAGAAUUUGGUACUUCACAGUGAAGUUCCACUGACUCUACCUUAAAUGUGGAAGAUCGUCUGAAGCAACAGGGCAUCUUUCCCGUCCUGUGAUCCACUCACCAUUCCAGCUGUUUGUAGUGCUUUAGUGACGUGUUUCCUGUGUCUCCUCUUGUCGUUCAUCACUGCACAAGACAUGGUGAUAUUCUCUUGUACCAGCAAACAAAUAAAAACUCCAACCAUCAGCUAAUUUUGAUGUCUUAAAUCAAGCGUUCAUGCUGCUCGACCCCCAAGCAAACUUGUAGUCUGUUGUCUGUAUACUAGAGCUGUGUGUCUGUAGCGUGGUGGGACAAUAAUCAUGUUUUUCUGUGUGUGGUUUAACAGAAUGUGAACGGGUAAGCUGUUGUUGUACAUCAUACUGUUGUACUCAAGACCAGUUAUAUUGGCCUUUCUACGUCUGAAAAUAACUCACUGCUACAACUUCUGGGAAUAAAGUGUUUCUAUAUUUCAC